UUCAUGCCUGAGAAUUCAUAGGUUUAGUUCAUAUUUUUCUAUAGGCAACUGUUCUUAGCAUAGACUGCUGAGUGUGAGCUCACUGUCAACAUGCUUUAUCUACCCCACAUCUUCUCUGUACAAGACAGUUCAUGCCUUCCUGUGCUUAGGAACAGCAGAAAGCAGUUACAGGCCAUAUUUGGGGUGUUUUGUUUUAUUCUAAGGCAGAAUCUCCAUGGCUCGGGAAUAAUUUUAAACAGUGAAACCACAGAGCACAAGCAGCAAUGGCGAAGGCUCCUCAUUUGGCCUGAGAAGUGUAGCAGAGGGCACAGUGGUGCCUGUUGUGCCUUAGCUAGGACCACAGUCCUGGGCCAACUCUUCAGUUAUGUGCUCUUCUGCAUGUUUUCAAGUGGCUAGGAAGUCUAAGGUACUGACUUCCAGGGGAGGGCUGCAAAAUCCCUUCACCGGGCCUAUACAUUUUAAACCCUUCAACAGGCCUGUACGUUUUAAAGCUUUGGAAUCUGAAUAACAAAGGUCAGCCACAAAUGUGGAAGACACAGUGAGUGUGUUGUCUUUUGUGUCCUAACUGUGAGGGUUCAUUCGCUACAUAACACAUGUCUAUUUAAAAAAAAAAGU
RNAcentral lists this long non-coding RNA (615 nucleotides) under Rattus norvegicus (Norway rat). Its description in RNAcentral is "long non-coding RNA NONRATT016871". Lineage: Eukaryota; Metazoa; Chordata; Mammalia; Rodentia; Muridae. The record is from RNAcentral.